This 1433-nucleotide ribosomal RNA is filed under the name uncultured organism. RNAcentral describes it as "SSU rRNA". It matches the Rfam family "Bacterial small subunit ribosomal RNA". The record is from RNAcentral.
CUUAACACAUGCAAGUCGAGGGGCAUCAGGAAGAAAGCUUGCUUUCUUUGCUGGCGACCGGCGCACGGGUGAGUAACACGUAUCCAACCUGCCCUUUACUCGGGGAUAGCCUUUCGAAAGAAAGAUUAAUACCCGAUAGCAUAAUGAUUCCGCAUGGUUUCAUUAUUAAAGGAUUCCGGUAAAGGAUGGGGAUGCGUUCCAUUAGGUUGUUGGUGAGGUAACGGCCCACCAAGCCUUCGAUGGAUAGGGGUUCUGAGAGGAAGGUCCCCCACAUUGGAACUGAGACACGGUCCAAACUCCUACGGGAGGCAGCAGUGAGGAAUAUUGGUCAAUGGGCGCUAGCCUGAACCAGCCAAGUAGCGUGAAGGAUGAAGGCUCUAUGGGUCGUAAACUUCUUUUAUAUAAGAAUAAAGUGCAGUAUGUAUACUGUUUUGUAUGUAUUAUAUGAAUAAGGAUCGGCUAACUCCGUGCCAGCAGCCGCGGUAAUACGGAGGAUCCGAGCGUUAUCCGGAUUUAUUGGGUUUAAAGGGAGCGUAGGUGGACUGGUAAGUCAGUUGUGAAAGUUUGCGGCUCAACCGUAAAAUUGCAGUUGAUACUGUCAGUCUUGAGUACAGUAGAGGUGGGCGGAAUUCGUGGUGUAGCGGUGAAAUGCUUAGAUAUCACGAAGAACUCCGAUUGCGAAGGCAGCUCACUGGACUGCAACUGACACUGAUGCUCGAAAGUGUGGGUAUCAAACAGGAUUAGAUACCCUGGUAGUCCACACAGUAAACGAUGAAUACUCGCUGUUUGCGAUAUACAGUAAGCGGCCAAGCGAAAGCAUUAAGUAUUCCACCUGGGGAGUACGCCGGCAACGGUGAAACUCAAAGGAAUUGACGGGGGCCCGCACAAGCGGAGGAACAUGUGGUUUAAUUCGAUGAUACGCGAGGAACCUUACCCGGGCUUAAAUUGCAGUGGAAUGAUGUGGAAACAUGUCAGUGAGCAAUCACCGCUGUGAAGGUGCUGCAUGGUUGUCGUCAGCUCGUGCCGUGAGGUGUCGGCUUAAGUGCCAUAACGAGCGCAACCCUUAUCUUUAGUUACUAACAGGUUAUGCUGAGGACUCUAGAGAGACUGCCGUCGUAAGAUGUGAGGAAGGUGGGGAUGACGUCAAAUCAGCACGGCCCUUACGUCCGGGGCUACACACGUGUUACAAUGGGGGGUACAGAAGGCAGCUAGCGGGUGACCGUAUGCUAAUCCCAAAAUCCUCUCUCAGUUCGGAUCGGAGUCUGCAACCCGACUUCGUGAAGCUGGAUUCGUUAGUAAUCGCGCAUCAGCCACGGCGCGGUGAAUACGUUCCCGGGCCUUGUACACACCGCCCGUCAAGCCAUGGGAGCCGGGGGUACCUGAAGUACGUAACCGCAAGGAUCGUCCUAGGGUAAAACUGGUGACUGGGGCUA